Molecule: ribosomal RNA, 440 nt
Filed under: uncultured bacterium
Lineage: Bacteria
Description: partial 16S ribosomal RNA
Rfam family: Bacterial small subunit ribosomal RNA
Source: RNAcentral
CCUACGGGAGGCAGCAGUGGGGAAUAUUGCACAAUGGGGGGAACCCUGAUGCAGCGACGCCGCGUGAGUGAAGAAGUAUUUCGGUAUGUAAAGCUCUAUCAGCAGGGACGAAGAUGACGGUACCUGACUAAGAAGCCCCGGCUAACUACGUGCCAGCAGCCGCGGUAAUAAGUAGGGGGCAAGCGUUAUCCGGAUUUACUGGGUGUAAAGGGAGAGUAGACGGCAGGGCAAGUCUGGAGUGAAAGCCCGGGGCUCAACCCCGGGACUGCUUUGGAAACUGCCAUGCUAGAGUGCGGGAGAGGUAGGCGGAAUUCCUAGUGUAGCGGUGAAAUGCGUAGAUAUUAGGAAGAACACCAGUGGCGAAGGCGGCUUACUGGACAGUAACUGACGUUGAGGCUCGAAAGUGUGGGGAGCAAACAGGAUUAGAUACCCGGGUAGUC